This 391-nucleotide long non-coding RNA is filed under the name Mytilus galloprovincialis (Mediterranean mussel). The record is from RNAcentral. Lineage: Eukaryota; Metazoa; Mollusca; Bivalvia; Mytilida; Mytilidae.
AUGGAAUUUUCUACUUCCUCAUUCGAAUCACAGAAUAAAUUGGUUUGUCAGUUCUGUGAGGAAUCGUCUGACCUUGAAUGGAAGUGUAUAAACUGUGACUUGUUAUUAUGUCAACUGUGUCAUUCACGAAUUCAUUCGAAAAGUAAAUCAUCCACUAACCACAAAGUUAUUAAUCUGAGGGACUAUAGAAGAGAACUUGCCAGAGAAAUUGCUCGCGAGGUCGACUUAUCCAGAAUGACUUGUGUACAACAUAGUGAUGAAACGUGUUUAUUACACUGUAAAAACUGUGACAGACCAGUGUGUUCUGACUGCUUGAUUGGAGAUCACCACAAUCAUCAAUACAGUAAACUGGACAUAGUGUACAAGAGAAAACUCCAAGUCAUAAGGGAUG